This 70-nucleotide microRNA precursor is filed under the name Chlorocebus sabaeus (green monkey). Its description in RNAcentral is "miRNA (ENSCSAG00000025502.1)". The record is from RNAcentral. Lineage: Eukaryota; Metazoa; Chordata; Mammalia; Primates; Cercopithecidae.
AGUAGAGCUGGGGUUUCACCAUGUUGGUCAGGCUGGUCUCAAACUCCUGACCUCAAGUGAUCUACCCGCC